AUGGUUUUCAGGAGUUUUCAAAAGGCAGAAAGCAAUCUGAAGUCUUUUAAACUGUGUCUUUCAAUUCCAGGCAUGUGCACAGGAGGAGGAGAAAGACGAGGAGGAGGACCGGCUGAGCGGCGCCUCCUUCCCAACCCGCAGCGCGCACUGGCUCCUCGGGGGACCCCCGGCAGAGCACCAAGACUGGAGACGAGGCGGCGACACAAGCAACAGCUGCUGCACGGGACUGGGCUCAAUUGGCUCUUGGAGGCCAGGGCCGGGGGAGGCAGGAUUGGGAAGGAGGGUCGGAGAAGUGGGGUGCAGAGGGCGGGGCAGCGAGCUGCCAGGUCCUGAGGAAGGCGCCCCAGGCGCCUAGGGAUGCCGCCGCGCCGUGGCCGCCGCCCGAUCUGACGCCGCCGGCCCCUCUCCCUGCCCGGCGGGCGCUUGCAGCCGCGGGCGCACGGGCCUCGCCUAGUUCCGCCGCUCGCUGCCUGCGCCUUCGGUGCGCCCCGCUUUGUGCUCCCCGCAGCCGGCGUGCACCUGGUGUAAGCAAAGGCGGUCAGCUGAUGGGCCGCGCGCGGAUUGGCUGCUCCGCCGUCUCCUCCCCUCCCGCCCGACCCCCUUCCCGGCCUCCACCUCCCGCCCCCGCCCCCGCCCUCGGCUCAGCCCCGUGCUGGGCACCAUCUGUAGACCGCCCAACAAAGGCGCAGCGCGGCGGGCCUCGGGUGGCCGGGACGCGCUGCGCCGCCGCGGUCUCCGCUGCAGGGAACAGCCGGCCGCCGCUUUUUGUCUAGGGGACAGCAGGCUGCGGUUGGGUAGAGAGGCGAGGCGCAUUGCCGUUUCUUAGCAAAAGACAGACCAAAAGAAAAAAAGCGUCCGUGCUAGGAGGCCAGCUAGGCACAAUGGGGCCGCAUCUUUUUGCAAGGUAGAACUCGGGCUCGGGAGCUGAGAAUCAGACACAGUUCGGCCUGGGGUUGUGAGAGCGAAGUUUCCGGGUGAAAUCCGACCCUGCGUCUUAAAAUACGGGGCGCGUCCUCGGGCUAUGUGUGCGCGCCCGGGGGCGUCCUCGGCGGAGCUGGCCCGGGCCAGUGUCCUUGCCGCGGGAAGGAGGAUUCGGACGCUUAACUCAGUGGCGAAGCCGCUUCCCAUUUGAGGAGGCUUUCCGAAAACGUUUCUGAAACUUUGAAAUUACAGCUUUCUGAUUUGUUAGGUGUAGAAGUAGUGUUUAAAUAGGCGGUGGAGGACUGACUGAGAACGCCGUC
This 1241-nucleotide long non-coding RNA is filed under the name Piliocolobus tephrosceles (Ugandan red Colobus). Its description in RNAcentral is "lncRNA (ENSPTEG00000030873.1)". Lineage: Eukaryota; Metazoa; Chordata; Mammalia; Primates; Cercopithecidae. The record is from RNAcentral.